AUUAGGGUAAAGUGAUCUUAGUCGCCCGUUUUGAUUCCCUUCUUUUCGAGCUAUGGUCUAACAAAAUUAACUACAAGUUUGUAUAUCUCUGUUCAAUCUAUGAUCUAGAAGAAGAGAUGGUAACAGUCAUUGAAGACGGUAAUGGAUCGAUUUGAAAGGGACGCGGUUCUUUAUGGAUACAGUAUGUCUGUAGAAUGGGAACAUCAUUCUCAUUGAUGGAUCGGUUGUCCUGACUUCUGGAUAACUGGAGAGACAAUGCAAAAAUGGUGAUUGAAAUGAGCUUGAAUGAUUCUUGGCUUCGUGAUACAGGGCCAGCACUUAUUGUUAAAGAAACCAAAUCCACGAGCAAUUCAGAGACUAAGGUUGCUGGGAUUGAUUGGGAAUUCAACAGUUAUGGGAUUAUGGAUGUUAAACGAGUUCCUAAAUUUAAAUACUCUAUCAUUCUUGAAGAUGAAGCAUUCAUGUCGAUGGAGAAGAUUGAAUCUGCCCUUCCUACAUUGUUGAGGCACAUUAUGUGACUAGAUGCAAAUGAAGAUGCUGUGAUUGGGGCCUUAAUGCAAAGCUUAAGGCAAUCGGAGAAUCUUGGUGCCCAACGAGCAUGAAUUGAAAGACAUGCUUAAAAAGAUGAAGAGAAAAGUGGACGAAGUAGAUCUUGUUGGUGUGCUUUAAGGAGGAUUCUUUUGAACUGUGAAGUGGAACUGAUAAAUUUUCUCUUGAAUGUUUCUCACUUUUUUUUGUCUUAAAUUGGUCAUUUUGUUAAAGCUGUUAAACAAUUUCGAUUUAUUUUUGUAGUAAAGAUCAAUGGCAAGUUAGAAAUCAGUUUAUUAAAACUUUGAAACUAAAUAUUUUAUAAUAUUCGAUGUUUGGUUUAUGUUUUA
Long non-coding RNA from Impatiens glandulifera, 878 nucleotides. RefSeq lists it as uncharacterized. Lineage: Eukaryota; Viridiplantae; Streptophyta; Magnoliopsida; Ericales; Balsaminaceae. The transcript has 7 exons. The record is from RefSeq and is a predicted model, not a curated record.